Molecule: ribosomal RNA, 253 nt
Filed under: uncultured bacterium
Lineage: Bacteria
Description: partial 16S ribosomal RNA
Rfam family: Bacterial small subunit ribosomal RNA
Source: RNAcentral
UACGUAGGUGGCAAGCGUUGUCCGGAUUUACUGGGCGUAAAGGGCGUGCAGGCGGUUUGUUAAGUGCAGGGUGAAAGCUCCCGGCUCAACUGGGAGAGGUCCUUGCAUACUGGCGAACUCGAGGGAGGCAGAGGAAAGUGGAAUUCCCGGUGUAGUGGUGAUAUGCGUAGAUAUCGGGAGGAACACCUGUGGCGAAGGCGGGUCUCUGGGCAACAACUGACGCUGAGGAGCGAAAGCGUGGGGAGCGAACAGG